Molecule: ribosomal RNA, 254 nt
Filed under: uncultured bacterium
Lineage: Bacteria
Description: partial 16S ribosomal RNA
Rfam family: Bacterial small subunit ribosomal RNA
Source: RNAcentral
UACAGAGGGUGCAAGCGUUGUUCGGAAUUAUUGGGCGUAAAGCGCGUGUAGGCGGCUUUGCAAGUCGGGUGUGAAAUCCCUCGGCUCAACCGAGGAAGUGCGCCCGAAACUGCAGAGCUUGAGUACCGGAGAGGAUGGCGGAAUUCCCGAAGUAGAGGUGAAAUUCGUAGAUAUCGGGAGGAACACCGGUGGCGAAGGCGGCCAUCUGGACGGAUACUGACGCUGAGACGCGAAAAGCGUGGGUAGCAAACAGG